Molecule: non-coding RNA, 29 nt
Filed under: Mus musculus (house mouse)
Lineage: Eukaryota; Metazoa; Chordata; Mammalia; Rodentia; Muridae
Source: RNAcentral
UAUCCAGGUUUAAAGACUAUGAUACUAGC